GGGGCGUUAGCUCAAUUGGUAGAGCUGCGGACUUUUAAUCCGUAGGUUCUGGGUUCGAGCCCCAGGCGCCCUA
RNAcentral lists this transfer RNA (73 nucleotides) under Labedaea rhizosphaerae. RNAcentral describes it as "Labedella sp. RS-49 tRNA". It matches the Rfam family "tRNA". Rfam says of the family: Transfer RNA (tRNA) molecules are approximately 80 nucleotides in length. Their secondary structure includes four short double-helical elements and three loops (D, anti-codon, and T loops). Further hydrogen bonds mediate the characteristic L-shaped molecular structure. tRNAs have two regions of fundamental functional importance: the anti-codon, which is responsible for specific mRNA codon recognition, and the 3' end, to which the tRNAs corresponding amino acid is attached (by aminoacyl-tRNA synthetases). tRNAs cope with the degeneracy of the genetic code in two manners: having more than one tRNA (with a specific anti-codon) for a particular amino acid; and 'wobble' base-pairing, i.e. permitting non-standard base-pairing at the 3rd anti-codon position. The record is from Rfam by way of RNAcentral. Lineage: Bacteria; Bacillati; Actinomycetota; Actinomycetes; Pseudonocardiales; Pseudonocardiaceae.